Molecule: ribosomal RNA, 314 nt
Filed under: Brachybacterium sp.
Lineage: Bacteria; Bacillati; Actinomycetota; Actinomycetes; Micrococcales; Dermabacteraceae
Description: bacterial SSU rRNA
Rfam family: Bacterial small subunit ribosomal RNA
Source: RNAcentral
GAGCUUGUAGGUGGCUUGUCGCGUCUGCCGUGAAAACCCGAGGCUCAACCUCGGGCGUGCGGUGGGUACGGGCAGGCUAGAGUGUGGUAGGGGAGACUGGAACUCCUGGUGUAGCGGUGAUAUGCGCAGAUAUCAGGAAGAACACCGAUGGCGAAGGCAGGUCUCUGGGCCAUUACUGACACUGAGAAGCGAAAGCAUGGGGAGCGAACAGGAUUAGAUACCCUGGUAGUCCAUGCCGUAAACGUUGGGCACUAGGUGUGGGGAACAUUCCACGUUUUCCGCGCCGUAGCUAACGCAUUAAGUGCCCCGCCUGG